Non-coding RNA from Pelobates cultripes (western spadefoot toad), 184 nucleotides. The record is from the annotation of a GenBank genome assembly. Lineage: Eukaryota; Metazoa; Chordata; Amphibia; Anura; Pelobatidae.
AGGGUGAAAGAGUGAAGGGCGACCUGCCUUUCCUCUAACACUCCCCCUAGGUAUACCCACAGUAGUGAAAAUAACUCAUAGGGUAUGAAUAAAGUUAUUUUCUAUAAGUUAUUUUCACUACUGUGGGUAUACCUAGGGGGAGUUUUAGAAGAAAGGCAGGUCACCCUUCACUCUUUCACCCUCU